CAGGAGAGAGUUUAAGAGAAUAUUAAUUUUGGGGAUUAAAGGACUAAGUUUAGUUUCCUGA
Molecule: transfer RNA, 61 nt
Filed under: Microthoracius praelongiceps
Lineage: Eukaryota; Metazoa; Arthropoda; Insecta; Psocodea; Microthoraciidae
Description: tRNA-Pro
Source: RNAcentral